Molecule: transfer RNA, 72 nt
Filed under: Sphaerodactylus townsendi
Lineage: Eukaryota; Metazoa; Chordata; Lepidosauria; Squamata; Sphaerodactylidae
Description: tRNA-Ala
Rfam family: tRNA
About the family: Transfer RNA (tRNA) molecules are approximately 80 nucleotides in length. Their secondary structure includes four short double-helical elements and three loops (D, anti-codon, and T loops). Further hydrogen bonds mediate the characteristic L-shaped molecular structure. tRNAs have two regions of fundamental functional importance: the anti-codon, which is responsible for specific mRNA codon recognition, and the 3' end, to which the tRNAs corresponding amino acid is attached (by aminoacyl-tRNA synthetases). tRNAs cope with the degeneracy of the genetic code in two manners: having more than one tRNA (with a specific anti-codon) for a particular amino acid; and 'wobble' base-pairing, i.e. permitting non-standard base-pairing at the 3rd anti-codon position.
Source: RNAcentral
GGGGCUGUGGCUCAGUGGUAGAGCAUCUGCUUUGCAUGAAGGAAGUUCCAGGUUCAGUGCCCGGCGCCUCCA